GUUGUACAGUGGAGAGAUGUCCCCUAUCAUGUGCCUGGAACAGCCACUACCAACGAACCGAAGUCUGAUGAUAAGCCUCCAUNCUAUCAUGUGCCUGGAACAGCCACUACCAACAAACUGAAGUCUGAUGAUAAGCCUCCAUGGCUGCUCCGACACAGAGCAGGAUCAGUUGGUCUUUGGAACCCAGUCCAUUUUGAAACUGGGUCGACCUUUGUCAUCAACGCAAGCUACUUUCUCUCAUGACAUAUCCUGUUUAUCACAAACAGAAGAUGAAGAAAUAUUAGAAUCGUUAGAAGAUUUAGGAGAGUGAGCCUUUGGAACCCAUUUGUAGUUGUGUUUAACCCAUUUCUUUUUCGAUCCG
Molecule: long non-coding RNA, 361 nt
Filed under: Lactuca sativa (garden lettuce)
Lineage: Eukaryota; Viridiplantae; Streptophyta; Magnoliopsida; Asterales; Asteraceae
Description: long non-coding RNA (LSAT_LNC005388)
Source: RNAcentral